AUGGACGAAAGUCUGAUGGAGCAACGCCGCGUGAGUGAAGAAGGGUUUCGGCUCGUAAAACUCUGUUGUUAAAGAAGAACAUAUCUGAGAGUAACUGUUCAGGUAUUGACGGUAUUUAACCAGAAAGCCACGGCUAACUACGUGCCAGCAGCCGCGGUAAUACGUAGGUGGCAAGCGUUGUCCGGAUUUAUUGGGCGUAAAGCGAGCGCAGGCGGUUUUUUAAGUCUGAUGUGAAAGCCUUCGGCUCAACCGAAGAAGUGCAUCGGAAACUGGGAAACUUGAGUGCAGAAGAGGACAGUGGAACUCCAUGUGUAGCGGUGAAAUGCGUAGAUAUAUGGAAGAACACCAGUGGCGAAGGCGGCUGUCUGGUCUGUAACUGACGCUGAGGCUCGAAAGUAUGGGUAGCAAACAGGAUUAGAUACCCUGGUAGUCCAUACCGUAAACGAUGAAUGCUAAGUGUUGGAGGGUUUCCGCCCUUCAGUGCUGCAGCUAACGCAUUAAGCAUUCCGCCUGGGGAGUACGGCCGCAAGGCUGAAACUCAAAGGAAUUGACGGGGGCCCGCACAAGCGGUGGAGCAUGUGGUUUAAUUCGAAGCUACGCGAAGAACCUUACCACGUCUUGACA
RNAcentral lists this ribosomal RNA (624 nucleotides) under Lactiplantibacillus paraplantarum. Its description in RNAcentral is "bacterial SSU rRNA". It matches the Rfam family "Bacterial small subunit ribosomal RNA", at positions 371 to 986 of the family's 1533-position model. Lineage: Bacteria; Bacillati; Bacillota; Bacilli; Lactobacillales; Lactobacillaceae. The record is from RNAcentral.